AACAGGAUUAGAUACCCUGGUAGUCCACGCCCUAAACGAUGUCUACUAGUUGUCGGGUCUUAAUUGACUUGGUAACGCAGCUAACGCGUGAAGUAGACCGCCUGGGGAGUACGGUCGCAAGAUUAAAACUCAAAGGAAUUGACGGGGACCCGCACAAGCGGUGGAUGAUGUGGAUUAAUUCGAUGCAACGCGAAAAACCUUACCUACCCUUGACAUGGCAGGAAUCCCGGAGAGAUUUGGGAGUGCUCGAAAGAGAACCUGCACACAGGUGCUGCAUGGCUGUCGUCAGCUCGUGUCGUGAGAUGUUGGGUUAAGUCCCGCAACGAGCGCAACCCUUGUCAUUAGUUGCUACGAAAGAGCACUCUAAUGAGACUGCCGGUGACAAACCGGAGGAAGGUGGGGAUGACGUCAAGUCCUCAUGGCCCUUAUGGGUAGGGCUUCACACGUCAUACAAUGGUACAUACAGAGGGCCGCCAACCCGCGAGGGGGAGCUAAUCCCAGAAAGUGUAUCGUAGUCCGGAUCGUAGUCUGCAACUCGACUGCAUGAAGUUGGAAUCGCUAGUAAUCGCGGAUCAGCAUGUCGCGGUGAAUACGUUCCCGGGUCUUGUACACACCGCCCGUCACACCAUGGGAGCGGGUUUUACCAGAAGUAGGUAGCUUAACCGCAAGGAGGGCGCUUACCACGGUAGGAUUCGUGACUGGGGUGAAGUCGUAACAAGGUAACC
Molecule: ribosomal RNA, 725 nt
Filed under: uncultured bacterium
Lineage: Bacteria
Description: bacterial SSU rRNA
Rfam family: Bacterial small subunit ribosomal RNA
Source: RNAcentral